CUGUCCAGCUACUAAGUAUUUUAAGAUCUAGUUAAAGCAGUAAUGCCUUCCUCUUUUAUUUUAUAGGUUUGUGUUUGAGGACAUGGAUGAUGCUAUGCUCAUUACAGGGAUUUUUAUUAUUUUUGCCAUGUAGCACCUGUUGCCAUCGUCCUCCGCAUGACGCACAGCAGUGGUUGCAUCGUAAUAGGUUCUCAUCUUUCUGCAGGAUUUUCUCUGGUUUCUCAGGUUCUGAUUUGCUAAAAAUGAGCAGAGACGACUUCAUUCAAAUCUGUGGGCCUGCUGAUGGAAUCCGUCUUUUUAAUACAAUCAAGGGGAGGCGAGAUGUCUCUUUAAAUAAACACUUCUCACCUGUCACCAUGAUCCAGAUUUUAUGCUUCAUAAUCAUGCUGUUUGAUCUUUUCGCUUUAAUGUCUGUCAGGUGCGUACAACCACAUCUCACUGUCUAUGUAUGUCAGCUGCAGAAUAGAUAUCAAUCACAUGCCAAAGGAGGGGCUGAUGGAGUCUACCAUGCCCUCUACCUAGAGGACCUUACUGUGUUUGAGCUUGCUGAGAAGAUAGCCAAUCUAUAAAAUGUGCCCUAACAGCAGAUUCAUCAUGUAUACAGACAAGGGCCGACAGGGAUUUACGUCUUGCUUUCGGAUGCGAUGGUGCAGAACUUCACAUAGGAGACCAGCUUCAUAAUCAGCACUUUGAAAGGUAACUUCAUGGACAUGACACUUAUCUCAACUAUACUGAUAGCUUUUUGUUUGUCAGGUUGUACUUAUCAGGAGAAAAUAAACCAGAUGUCCAUUGCUUAAAGGUGCUUUUAUAAGCAGGACUUUUAUAUAAUAGAUACAAAUAUGAAGUAAAUCAGUGUGUUUUUAAGAAUACAAUAUGAUUGUGUCACAAUAACAAGCUACAAUGUAAAACACCAAUCCAAUUAAUGGAUUCACAUUUAAUCCAUAAUGUCCUUGUGCUUAUUAUAAUACUGUAUUUGGUUAAUGUUCGCUCUUUUUUUUUACCUGUGUGAUUGCAGAUGAAAGUAAUGAUGGUUAUAAAUAUAAAUAU
Paramisgurnus dabryanus is the source of this 1047-nucleotide long non-coding RNA. RefSeq lists it as uncharacterized. The record is from RefSeq and is a predicted model, not a curated record. Lineage: Eukaryota; Metazoa; Chordata; Actinopteri; Cypriniformes; Cobitidae.